AUUGAACGCUGGCGGCAGGCCUAACACAUGCAAGUCGAACGGUAACAGAAAGCAGCUUGCUGCUUUGCUGACGAGUGGCGGACGGGUGAGUAAUGUCUGGGAAACUGCCUGAUGGAGGGGGAUAACUACUGGAAACGGUAGCUAAUACCGCAUAACGUCGCAAGACCAAAGAGGGGGACCUUCGGGCCUCUUGCCAUCGGAUGUGCCCAGAUGGGAUUAGCUAGUAGGUGGGGUAAAGGCUCACCUAGGCGACGAUCCCUAGCUGGUCUGAGAGGAUGACCGGCAACACGGGAACGGAGACACGGUCCAGCCCCCUACGGGAGGAGGCAGGGGGGAAUUUGGACAAAGGGGGACAAGCUGGAGGCACCCGGGCGGCGGUGGGAAAAAGGGCCUUGGGGUUGAAAAGUAUUUCCGGGGGGGAGGAAGGGAGAAAAGUUAAUACCUUUGCUCAUUGACGUUCCCGGAGAAAGAAGCCCCGGCUAGCUCCGUC
RNAcentral lists this ribosomal RNA (490 nucleotides) under uncultured bacterium. RNAcentral's name for it is "partial 16S ribosomal RNA". It matches the Rfam family "Bacterial small subunit ribosomal RNA", at positions 29 to 507 of the family's 1533-position model. The record is from RNAcentral.